ACGCAAACACGAAUGGGCAUGUAUGACUAUGGGAUGAUAAGAUUCUUAUCAUCCCAUAGUCAUACAUGCCCGUUCGUGUUUGCGU
RNAcentral lists this microRNA precursor (85 nucleotides) under Ixodes scapularis (black-legged tick). RNAcentral describes it as "microRNA mir-190". The record is from RNAcentral. Lineage: Eukaryota; Metazoa; Arthropoda; Arachnida; Ixodida; Ixodidae.